This 218-nucleotide long non-coding RNA is filed under the name Physcomitrium patens. Its description in RNAcentral is "long non-coding RNA (PPAT_LNC003990)". Lineage: Eukaryota; Viridiplantae; Streptophyta; Bryopsida; Funariales; Funariaceae. The record is from RNAcentral.
AAACAUACUAGAAAAGUAGAAACAACACACUUAUUCGGUCUAGGAAGUUUUAUAUUUAAGAUAUUCAUGUGUUACAAGUAUUCAAGAGUAAAUAUAAUUAAAAGGGGCCAAUCCAAAAUAAACAAAUUUAGGACUUAGCAUUUAAAAUGUAUUUAGAAUAUUGGAUUUAGAAAUCUGUAUUUGAUUAAAACUUAGAAUUUAGCGUUUUCUUUGUAUAU